Unclassified non-coding RNA from Fukomys damarensis (Damara mole-rat), 305 nucleotides. Its record names the gene 7SK. It matches the Rfam family "7SK RNA". Rfam says of the family: 7SK was discovered as an abundant small nuclear RNA in the mid-70s but a possible function has only recently been suggested. Lineage: Eukaryota; Metazoa; Chordata; Mammalia; Rodentia; Bathyergidae. The record is from Ensembl.
GGAUGUGAGGGCGACCUGGCUGCAAAAUCUGCUGCCAGCGUUGAUUGGGCUGAUCUGGCUGGCUGCACAGUGUCCCCUCCCUCCUUCCCACUGCAUGUGUCCUCCCAAAGCUGUGCCCUGGUCUAACAGGACAACCUCCCACACACAGGGGGACCGCUUUCCCGGCCAAGGAUAUACAGGCAGCUGUGCUCCCCUGCUAAAACCUCCACACAAGCUCUCAGGAAACUGCCUGUGAGCCUCCUGUGGCAGUGUACGCCUGUAAUCCCAGCACUCAGGAAGCUGAGGCAGGUGGAUCGUCACAAGUU